This 300-nucleotide unclassified non-coding RNA is filed under the name Entoloma sp. RNAcentral's name for it is "partial contains small subunit ribosomal RNA and internal transcribed spacer 1". The stretch from base 1 to 46 matches the Rfam family "Eukaryotic small subunit ribosomal RNA", at positions 1786 to 1831 of the family's 1831-position model. The record is from RNAcentral. Lineage: Eukaryota; Fungi; Basidiomycota; Agaricomycetes; Agaricales; Entolomataceae.
AAGUCGUAACAAGGUUUCCGUAGGUGAACCUGCGGAAGGAUCAUUAUUGAAUAAACUUGGUUGGGUUGCUGCUGGCUCUCAGGAGCAUGUGCACACUCGAUCCAUUUUAACCACCUGUGCACACACUGUAGGCCUGAAUGGAACUUUUCGAGGAAACUCGGUUUGAAGACUGCUGUGAAAAUCAGCUGUUUUUGCAUUCCAGGUCUAUGUUUUUAACAUAUACUCCAUAACAAGUUAUAGAAUGUUAAUCAUUGGCCUUCUGUGCCUUUUUUAAAAUAUAAUACAACUUUCAACAACGGA